This 351-nucleotide ribosomal RNA is filed under the name Paracucujus rostratus. RNAcentral describes it as "partial 12S ribosomal RNA". The record is from RNAcentral. Lineage: Eukaryota; Metazoa; Arthropoda; Insecta; Coleoptera; Boganiidae.
UUUAAAUGUUAAUAUGUUACUAAAUUAUUAAUAGUUAUGUUCUUUAAAGUUAAAGAAUUUGGCGGUAUUUUAGUCUAUUCAGAGGAACCUGUUCUAUAAUUGAUAUUCCACGAUUAAUAAUACUUAUUUUAUAUUAGUUUGUAUAUCGUCGUAAUUUGAAUAUUUUUAAAGAAGAUAAAUAUUCAUAAUUUAUUAUUAUAAAAUAAAUCAGAUCAAGGUGCAGCUUAUAAGUAAGGAGAAAUGGGUUACAUUAAAUUUAUUUAUGGUUAAUUUAAUGAAAUUUAAAUUUUAAAUUGGAUUUGAAAGUAAUUUUAAUUAUUUAAUUAAAAUGAUUUUAGCUCUAAAAUAUGU